Amblyraja radiata (thorny skate) is the source of this 198-nucleotide long non-coding RNA. RefSeq lists it as uncharacterized. The record is from RefSeq and is a predicted model, not a curated record. NCBI's taxonomy places the organism in Eukaryota, Metazoa, Chordata, Chondrichthyes, Rajiformes, Rajidae. The transcript is spliced from 3 exons.
GUUCGAUCCUGACCACGGGUGCUGUCUGUAUGGAGUCUGUGCGUUCUCUCUGUGGCCAGCGUGGGUUUUCUCCUGGUGCUCCGGUUUCCUCCCACACUCCAAAGACGUGCAGGUUUGUAGGUACGUUGGCUUCUGUAAUUGUCCGAAGAGUGUAGGAACGAGUAUGUUGAACUAGAUUAAAUUGUAAAAUUGUCCCUU